This 497-nucleotide ribosomal RNA is filed under the name uncultured bacterium. RNAcentral describes it as "partial 16S ribosomal RNA". It matches the Rfam family "Bacterial small subunit ribosomal RNA", at positions 28 to 507 of the family's 1533-position model. The record is from RNAcentral.
GAUGAACGCUGGCGGCGUGCCUAAUACAUGCAAGUCGAGCGAACGGACGAGAAGCUUGCUUCUCUGAUGUUAGCGGCGGACGGGUGAGUAACACGUGGAUAACCUACCUAUAAGACUGGGAUAACUUCGGGAAACCGGAGCUAAUACCGGAUAAUAUUUUGAACCGCAUGGUUCAAAAGUGAAAGACGGUCUUGCUGUCACUUAUAGAUGGAUCCGCGCUGCAUUAGCUAGUUGGUAAGGUAACGGCUUACCAAGGCAACGAUGCAUAGCCGACCUGAGAGGGUGUGCGGCCACACUGGAACUGAGACACGGUCCAGACUCCUACGGGAGGCAGCAGUAGGGAAUCUUCCGCAAUGGGCGAAAGCCUGACGGAGCAACGCCGCGUGAGUGAUGAAGGUCUUCGGAUCGUAAAACUCUGUUAUUAGGGAAGAACAUAUGUGUAAGUAACUGUGCACAUCUUGACGGUACCUAAUCAGAAAGCCACGGCUAACUACGUG